GAACAAGUGCAUGUGGUGGAUGCCUUGGCGAUCACAGGCGAUGAAGGACGCGGUAGCCUGCGAAAAGCUACGGGGAGCUGGCAAACGAGCUUUGAUCCGUAGAUGUCCGAAUGGGGAAACCCACUCCGUAUGGAGUAUCCAUGGCUGAAUACAUAGGCCAUGCGAAGCGAACGCGGUGAACUGAAACAUCUAAGUAACCGCAGGAAAAGAAAUC
RNAcentral lists this ribosomal RNA (214 nucleotides) under Burkholderia latens. RNAcentral describes it as "partial 23S ribosomal RNA". It matches the Rfam family "Bacterial large subunit ribosomal RNA", at positions 1 to 226 of the family's 2925-position model. Lineage: Bacteria; Pseudomonadati; Pseudomonadota; Betaproteobacteria; Burkholderiales; Burkholderiaceae. The record is from RNAcentral.